This 600-nucleotide ribosomal RNA is filed under the name uncultured bacterium. RNAcentral describes it as "bacterial SSU rRNA". It matches the Rfam family "Bacterial small subunit ribosomal RNA", at positions 78 to 679 of the family's 1533-position model. The record is from RNAcentral.
UUGCUACUUUUGCCGGCGAGCGGCGGACGGGUGAUAUGCCUGGGAAAUUGCCCAGUCGAGGGGGAUAACAGUUGGAAACGACUGCUAAUACCGAUACGCCCUACGGGGGAAAGCAGGGGACCUUCGGGCCUUGCGCGAUCGGAUAUGCCCAGGUGGGAUUAGCUAGUUGGUGAGGUAAUGGCUCACCAAGGCGACGAUCCCUACUGGUCUGAGAGGAUGAUCAGCACACUGGAACUGAGACACGGUCCAGACUCCUACGGGAGGCAGCAGUGGGGAAUAUUGCACAAUGGGGGAAACCCUGAUGCAGCCAUGCCGCGUGUGUGAAGAAGGCCUUCGGGUUGUAAAGCGCUUUCAGCGAGGAGGAAAGGUCAGUAGCUAAUAUCUGCUGGCUGUGACGUUUACUCGCAGAAGAAGCACCGGUAACUCCGUGCCAGCAGCCGGGUAAUACGGAGGGUGCAAGCGUUAAUCGGAAUUACUGGGGCGUAAAAGCGCACGCAGGCGGUUGGAUAAGUUAGAUGUGAAGCCCGGGGCUCAACCUGGGAUUGCUUUUAAAACUGUCCAGCUAGAGUCUUGUAAGGGGGUAAAAAUCCCAGGUGUUAC